This 446-nucleotide ribosomal RNA is filed under the name uncultured bacterium. RNAcentral describes it as "partial 16S ribosomal RNA". It matches the Rfam family "Bacterial small subunit ribosomal RNA", at positions 338 to 795 of the family's 1533-position model. The record is from RNAcentral.
CCUACGGGUGGCAGCAGUCGAGAAUCAUUCACAAUGGGGGAAACCCUGAUGGUGCGACGCCGCGUGGGGGAAUGAAGGUCUUCGGAUUGUAAACCCCUGUCAUGUGGGAGCAAAUUAAAAAGAUAGUACCACAAGAGAAAGAGACGGCUAACUCUGUGCCAGCAGCCGCGGUAAUACAGAGGUGUCAAGCGUGGUACGGAAUCACUGGGCGUAAAGUGUGCGUAGGCGGUUUCGUAAGUCGUGUGUGAAAGGCGCGGGCUCAACCCGAGGACGGCACAUGAUACUGCGAGACUAGAGUAAUGGAGGGGGAACCGUAAUUCGCGGUGUAGCAGUGAAAUGCGUAGAUAUCGAGAGGAACACUCGUGGCGAAGGCGGGUUCCUGGACAUUAACUGACGCUGAGGCACGAAGGCCAGGGGAGCGAAAGGGAUUAGAUACCCGUGUAGUC